RNAcentral lists this ribosomal RNA (253 nucleotides) under uncultured bacterium. RNAcentral's name for it is "partial 16S ribosomal RNA". It matches the Rfam family "Bacterial small subunit ribosomal RNA", at positions 524 to 776 of the family's 1533-position model. The record is from RNAcentral.
UACAGAGGGUGCGAACGUUGCUCGGAAUUACUGGGCGUAAAGCGCGUGUAGGCGGAUUGCUAAGUCGGGCGUGAAAGCCCCAGGCUCAACCUGGGAACUGCGCUCGAAACUGGCAGUCUCGAGUAUCGGAGAGGGCGGCGGAAUUCCUGGUGUAGAGGUGAAAUUCGUAGAUAUCAGGAGGAACACCGGUGGCGAAGGCGGCCGCCUGGACGAUUACUGACGCUGAGACGCGAAAGCGUGGGGAGCAAACAGA